Molecule: ribosomal RNA, 274 nt
Filed under: uncultured bacterium
Lineage: Bacteria
Description: partial 16S ribosomal RNA
Rfam family: Bacterial small subunit ribosomal RNA
Source: RNAcentral
AUACGAACCGUACGAACGUUAUUCGGAAUCACUGGGCUUAAAGAGUGCGUAGGCGGCUUGGUAAGUUGGGUGUGAAAUCCCUCGGCUCAACCGAGGAAUUGCGCCCAAUACUGCCUGGCUUGAGGGAGAUAGGGGUGAGCGGAACUAAUGGUGGAGCGGUGAAAUGCGUUGAUAUCAUUAGGAACACCGGAGGCGAAAGCGGCUCACUGGAUCUCUUCUGACGCUGAGGCACGAAAGCUAGGGGAGCGAACGGGAUUAGAAACCCCAGUAGUCC